GCGAGCCGCGCUGUGCGAGUGUCGGAGAUGGCGGGGCUUCAGCACCUCGGCCGUCCUGGGCCGCCGGACACCCCCGCUGGGGCCGAUGCCCAACAGUGACAUCGACUUGAGCAACCUGGAGCGGCUGGAGAAGUACCGGAGCUUCGACCGCUACCGGCGCCGGGCAGAGCAGGAGGCGCAGGCCCCGCACUGGUGGCGGACCUACCGAGAGUAUUUCGGGGAGAAGACAGAUCCCAAAGAGAAGAUUGAUAUUGGGCUGCCUCCACCCAAAGUCUCCCGGACCCAACAGCUACUGGAACGGAAACAGGCCAUCCGGGAGCUUCGGGCCAAUGUGGAAGAGGAGCGGGCUGCCCGCCUCCGCACAGUGUCCCGCUGGAUGCCGUGCGGGCCGAGUGGGAGAGGACCUGUGGCCCCUACCACAAGCAGCGUCUGGCUGAGUAUUACGGCCUCUACCGAGACCUGUUCCAUGGUGCCACCUUUGUGCCCCGAGUCCCCCUGCACGUGGCCUACGCUGUGGGUGAGGACGACCUGAUGCCCGUGUACUGUGGCAAUGAGGUGACUCCAACCGAGGUAACCACUCACUUGUGCCCCUCCUCCCUGCCCUGUGCAAACACAGACACAUCCCAUCUCAGUGUCACAGACACUCCUGGGUUUGGAAUUUUGUUGUUCUCUGUCUCUUUGAUUUCCUGGAAGACAACACCAUGACAAUUUCAAAGAAAAUAGAACA
Molecule: small RNA, 727 nt
Filed under: Pan troglodytes (chimpanzee)
Lineage: Eukaryota; Metazoa; Chordata; Mammalia; Primates; Hominidae
Description: retained intron
Source: RNAcentral